This 482-nucleotide ribosomal RNA is filed under the name uncultured bacterium. RNAcentral's name for it is "bacterial SSU rRNA". It matches the Rfam family "Bacterial small subunit ribosomal RNA", at positions 27 to 507 of the family's 1533-position model. The record is from RNAcentral.
CGGAUGAAUGCUGGCGGCGUGCCUAACACAUGCAAGUCGAGGGGUAUAGGGAGCUUGCUUCCUAGAGACCGGCGCACGGGUGCGUAACGCGUAUGCAAUCUACCUUGUACAGGGGAAUAGCCCAGAGAAAUUUGGAUUAAUGCCCCAUAGUAUUAUUAAAUGGCAUCCUUUAAUAAUUAAAGUUCCAACGGUACAAGAUGAGCAUGCGUCCUAUUAGUUAGUUGGUGUGGUAACGGCAUACCAAGACGAUGAUAGGUAGGGGUCCUGAGAGGGAGAUCCCCCACACUGGUACUGAGACACGGACCAGACUCCUACGGGAGGCAGCAGUGAGGAAUAUUGGACAAUGGGCGCAAGCCUGAUCCAGCCAUGCCGCGUGCAGGAAGACGGUCCUAUGGAUUGUAAACUGCUUUUAUACAGGAAGAAACACUGGUUCGUGAACCAGCUUGACGGUACUGUAAGAAUAAGGAUCGGCUAACUCCGUG